GCCUUCGUGGUGUAGUGGUCAGCACGCUCGGCGCGUAUUCGAGAGGUCCACGGUUCGAGUCCCGGCGAGGGCA
RNAcentral lists this transfer RNA (73 nucleotides) under Stegodyphus mimosarum. It matches the Rfam family "tRNA". From Rfam's summary of the family: Transfer RNA (tRNA) molecules are approximately 80 nucleotides in length. Their secondary structure includes four short double-helical elements and three loops (D, anti-codon, and T loops). Further hydrogen bonds mediate the characteristic L-shaped molecular structure. tRNAs have two regions of fundamental functional importance: the anti-codon, which is responsible for specific mRNA codon recognition, and the 3' end, to which the tRNAs corresponding amino acid is attached (by aminoacyl-tRNA synthetases). tRNAs cope with the degeneracy of the genetic code in two manners: having more than one tRNA (with a specific anti-codon) for a particular amino acid; and 'wobble' base-pairing, i.e. permitting non-standard base-pairing at the 3rd anti-codon position. The record is from Rfam by way of RNAcentral. Lineage: Eukaryota; Metazoa; Arthropoda; Arachnida; Araneae; Eresidae.